This is an RNA transcript of Sapajus apella (tufted capuchin), 2151 nucleotides long. It is a transcript of the gene named frataxin, mitochondrial pseudogene, with no coding region annotated. The transcript has a single exon. NCBI's taxonomy places the organism in Eukaryota, Metazoa, Chordata, Mammalia, Primates, Cebidae. The record is from RefSeq and is a predicted model, not a curated record.
UAGUCUCCCUUCAGGAGGCUAAGGUGGAAGAAUUGCUUGAGCCCAGGAGUUUGAGAUGGCAGUGAGCUCUGAUUGUGCCAUUGCAUGGGCCAACUGGGCAGGUCCACUUAGACACAAUUUUUAAAAAAUAAAUAUAUUGGAAAAAUUUUAGAGAUUUGCAAUAAUUUGAAAAACAAAUGAGCUGCAUAGCCUAGAAAUGUUGAAAACAUUGCUCAUCCGGGCCCCACGGCCAGCAGAGUUGGCCCCACUCUGUGGCCACCGGGGCCUGUGCACCGGAAUCGCCGUGGCCUGUGCACCCCGCCUCACCAGUUUGAACCUCCAUGGCCUCAACCAGAUUUGGAAUGUCAAAAGCAGAGUGUUUAUUUGAGGAGUUUGAGGAAAUCGGGAACUUUGGGCCACUCAGGCUCUCUAGAUGAGACCACCCAUGAAAGACUAGCAGAGGAAAUGCUAGACUCCUUAACAGAGUUUUCGAAGACCUUGCGGACAAGCCAUACAUGUUUUUUAAGGACUAUGAUGUUUUCUUUGGGAGUGGCAUCUUAACUGCUAAACUGGGUAGAGAUCCAGGAACCUACGUGAUCAAUAAGCAGACACUAAACAAGCAAAUCUGGUUAUCUUUUCCAUCCUGUGGACCCAAGUGUUAUGACUGGACUGGGGAAAACUGGGUGUACUCCCACUAUGGUGAUGGCACGUCCCUCCAUGAGCUGCUGGCUGCACAGCUCAUUAAAGCCUUAAAAAUCAAACUGGACUUGUCUUCCUUGGCCUAUUCCAGGAAAGACUCAUGUUGCCCAGCCCAGUUUUAAGGACAUUAAAAGCUGUCAUACAAAGACCCCAGCUUCAUUAUGCAGCUGAGGUCUGUUGUUUUUUUUUUUUUCAUUCCUGCUUUUGAGGACAGUUCGGCUAUGUGUAACAGCUCUGUGGAAAGAGUAUGUUGCCUCCUACCUUGCCGCCACGUUCUGAUUUUUAAUUUCUAUGGGAGAUUUUUUUGGAUUCACUGAUUUCCUCCCUCACAUGAUAUCCCUUAUAUUUUAUAAUAUCUUAUGCCUAUACCUAAAUAUAACAACCUUUAAAAAAGCAAAAUGAUAAGAAGAAAAAAUUCCAGGAGAAAUGAAUUGUUUUCACUCUUGAUUCUUUGAAGGAUUUACUACAAGAAGUACAUGAUGAGCAGCUCGUCAACCUGCUCACUGUUCUGUCUCAAAAUGAGACACGUUAAAGGGGAGCCUACAAAUGUUCCUGGGCUUCUUUCAAAGUGUGAGCACUUCUGAGCUCUUUAGUAUUGAAGUGUCGAAAGCAACUCACAUGGGAAGACCAUUUCUUAUUUGUGCUUUGUGACUGCCAGGGCGUGGCCUGCACUGGGUUGUCCAGGGAGACCUAGUGCUGUUUCUUCUACAUAAUCAUUUGCAUGCGCAUGUGCACGCACACGCAUGUUUGUAUACAUAUUUUUUCAAUUUAAGGGUUAGUACGGAAUCAGCUGCUACAAGAAUGCAAAAAAUCUUCCAAAGACAGGAAAGGAGGAAAAAAAGCCAUUUUCAUGAGCUGAGUGCUGUAGCAUAAUAAAAUCAUGGAGCUGAGGAGGUGCUUUGUAAAUGUGAAGGCAUGUAUAAAGAGAUACUCAUGCUCAUGUUGAUAAAAAGAGCCCUGGUCCUAGACAUAGUUCAGUCACAAAGUAGUUGUUUCUUUGUGGACAAGUUUUCCAAACUCCCUGGACCUCUGCUUUCCCCACUGUUAAUUGGGAGGAUAGAGUAUGGUUGAUUCAUAGCAUUCAGUGGUCCUGCCAAGCAGCCUAACAGGCUACCUUUAAUUCUCAUUGGGUAGAUGAGGGGAUGACAAAGAACAGUGUUAAAGCUAUAUGGGAAACAUUGUUAUUGGUGUUGCCCUAUCCGGAUUUCAGUUGAAUUCAUGUAAAAAUAAUAGUCAUCCUUUAUUGUACCCUUAUUGGGUUAAGCACAUUAUACCAUAUUACUGCAUUUUAAUUUUUACUGACCUGCACUUUUUAUAUGAAGCAACAAGGCCCCAGGACAUGAAAACUCAUACAAAGUUAUGCUCAUGUGAUACUAUUUUCUUACUUAAAGAAGGAUUUAUUAGUGACAAGUUUGUAUUAAUUUGUAGCAAAGGCUUUUCUAAUGGGUGAAUAAAAACACAUUCCAUUAUAGU